GCUCCCUCUGAGAUAUAAUAAAUUUCCUUUAGAAUUUCACUUAAAUUGACAUGAUUCUUUCUGAUCCUAUUUGAACAGAUCAACCCACUGACCACUGUGCAAAGUAAAGACAGCAGGAAAGAUGGAGAUCAAGUUACCAAGCCAGGUCCACCACUUGCUGCAUUACCAUGGAUGCCAAAGAAACACACACUUGAGCUUAUCCUAGAUAUAUUACAAAGGUAGCCAUUCUUUCAAAACUAUUAACUCAAAGAAUGAAAUGUUGUAAGCUAAGCUGCUAAGUUUAUAAUAAUUUAGAAGCAUUUACAUCAGUAAUUUCUGAUUGUUCUUCUUUGCUUGCGUUAUUUAUUGUUUAUCCAUUUUACUAUUGGGAGAGAUACUCAAGAAAUGUUUGCAGAACCAGUUGAUCCAAAUGAGGUUAGCAUCUAGCUAAUUGUUUCCUUCUCAUGUGUUGUUUCCUUUAUCAUUCGUUAUUUUUCUCUAAAUAAGGUAGAAGAUUACUAUGAAAUCAUCAAAGAUCCUAUGGAUUUUGGGACCAUGAGAGCUAAACUUCAUGAAGGAAUGUACAAUAGUCUUGAACAAUUUGAGCAUGAUGUGUUUCUAAUGCCUAGAAAUGCAAUGCACUUUAAUUCCUCAGGCACAAUUUAUUUUAGACAGGUAUGUUUAUCAAUCUUUGUUAAAAUUCUGAAGCAGUAUUCUUACAAUUCUCAGCUGAGAUAGUUU
Molecule: long non-coding RNA, 720 nt
Organism: Manihot esculenta (cassava)
Lineage: Eukaryota; Viridiplantae; Streptophyta; Magnoliopsida; Malpighiales; Euphorbiaceae
Exons: 3
Source: RefSeq, a predicted model, not a curated record